AUACUUACCUGGCAGGGGAGACACCAUGAUCACGAAGGUGGUUUUCCCAGGGCGAGGCUUAUCUAUUGCACUCCGGAUGUGCUGACCCCUGCGAUUUCCCCAAAUGUGGGAAACUCGACUGCAUAAUUUGUGGUAGUGGGGGACUGCGUUCGCGCUUUCCCCUG
RNAcentral lists this small nuclear RNA (164 nucleotides) under Physeter macrocephalus (sperm whale). RNAcentral describes it as "Physeter catodon (sperm whale) U1 spliceosomal RNA (ENSPCTG00005008262.1)". It matches the Rfam family "U1 spliceosomal RNA". Rfam says of the family: U1 is a small nuclear RNA (snRNA) component of the spliceosome (involved in pre-mRNA splicing). Its 5' end forms complementary base pairs with the 5' splice junction, thus defining the 5' donor site of an intron. The record is from Rfam by way of RNAcentral. Lineage: Eukaryota; Metazoa; Chordata; Mammalia; Artiodactyla; Physeteridae.